UACAGAGGGGGCAAGCGUUGUUCGGGAUUACUGGGCGUAAAGGGCGCGUAGGCGGCCUGUUAAGUCAGACGUGAAAUCCCUCGGCUCAACCGGGGAACUGCGUCUGAUACUGGCGGGCUUGAAUUCGGGAGAGGGAUGUGGAAUUCCAGGUGUAGCGGUGAAAUGCGUAGAUAUCUGGAGGAACACCGGUGGCGAAGGCGGCAUCCUGGACCGACAUUGACGCUGAGGCGCGAAAGCCAGGGGAGCAAACGGG
RNAcentral lists this ribosomal RNA (253 nucleotides) under uncultured bacterium. RNAcentral describes it as "partial 16S ribosomal RNA". It matches the Rfam family "Bacterial small subunit ribosomal RNA", at positions 524 to 776 of the family's 1533-position model. The record is from RNAcentral.